AAACAAAGGGAGGCGAAGCAGUGAUGUGGAGCGAAUCCCAAAAAUAACGUCCCAGUUCGGAUUGCAGUCUGCAACUCGAGUGCAUGAAGCUGGAAUCGCUAGUAAUCGCGAAUCAGAAUGUCGCGGUGAAUACGUUCCCGGGUCUUGUACACACCGCCCGUCACACCAUGAGAGUCGGGAACACCCGAAGUCCGUAGUCUAACCGCGAAGGGGGACGCGGCCGAAGGUGGGUUCGAUAAUUGGGGUGAAGUCGUAACAAGGUAGC
RNAcentral lists this ribosomal RNA (265 nucleotides) under uncultured bacterium. RNAcentral describes it as "partial 16S ribosomal RNA". It matches the Rfam family "Bacterial small subunit ribosomal RNA", at positions 1237 to 1500 of the family's 1533-position model. The record is from RNAcentral.